UACAGAGGUCCCAAGCGUUGUUCGGAUUCACUGGGCGUAAAGGGUGCGUAGGUGGUUGGGUAAGUCUGAUGUGAAAUCUCCAGGCUCAACUUGGAAACUGCAUCGGAUACUAUUCAGCUAGAGGGUUGGAGGGGGGACUGGAAUUCUCGGUGUAGCAGUGAAAUGCGUAGAUAUCGAGAGGAACACCAGUGGCGAAGGCGAGUCCCUGGACAACUCCUGACGCUGAGGCACGAAAGCUAGGGGAU
Molecule: ribosomal RNA, 245 nt
Filed under: uncultured bacterium
Lineage: Bacteria
Description: partial 16S ribosomal RNA
Rfam family: Bacterial small subunit ribosomal RNA
Source: RNAcentral